RNAcentral lists this long non-coding RNA (1231 nucleotides) under Gallus gallus (chicken). Its description in RNAcentral is "long non-coding RNA NONGGAT003755". Lineage: Eukaryota; Metazoa; Chordata; Aves; Galliformes; Phasianidae. The record is from RNAcentral.
CGCCCCUCGGGGGUCGCGUGACGCCAGGUGGACGGGGGCUCGUGCCCCGGCGGGCGCUGAGGUGGUUCUGGCGGUCGGGGGGUGUUGUCGUGCUGCUCAGCACAGCUUUCGUUCCUCUGUACUCGGCGGAGUUUUUAUGCGUUGCCCUCAGGUGGGAUGAAUUUGACUGCAACAAAAGUCCACUGAGAUGCGUCAGUGUUUCCCGAAGGCUCUUAAUCUCUUAUAACUUCCUCUCCUUUUGGGGGCAGAGCUCCCAUCAGUGCGUACCGCACUGCAGCUGAUGGCGUUCACCCUCUGACACUUUGUUUCUGCUCGAUGUAACGCGAGGGUUUGGGGCGCCGCAGAACUACGUGGUUUCAUGGCAUCGUUUUUAGUUUAGAUCGGCAAAUCGUUAACAAUUACUUUCUGCUUAUCCGUAUCUUCGGAGUCUGGGGACGAGAUCCUUCCUCUUGCGAUCCAUCGGCACCUGAAGGAUCUCUGAAAGGAAACCGGUGGAACGUGUGAGGGCUUCCUCUGGCGGAAAAGAACAAGACGAAAUAAGACACUAGGGAAGCUAAUGUGAGACACUAGUGCCCAAAUCACUUUAGACACGACUGAUAUGGCUGAUGAGGAGAAUCCAGCUGACAUAGAGGUCCAUAUGUGAGGAAAACAGCCACCUUCAGGUCUGACCAUUCUAAUUUCUACAUGUUGAACAAGCUUGCUGUGGCUGUUUUUGCUGUGCAUAAGCUACUCUGAAUAUGCAUACAGUUUUGAUAAGUGACCAAAGCCAGCUUUUUUCCCUUCACCAAAUAUCUCAUUCAUCUUUCUCAGUCUUAUAGUUCUCCUUACUGCAGACCAUUUUGAUAUUCUGCCAUUCAUGCCACCAGCUUCUCAUUUAUGAAAGAGAAGCAAAAUAAAAUAAACCAAGCAGAAAUAAAGCAGUUUGCUUCAUGCAUAUUCCAAGUUUGAAUCCUGUCUUUAGACUGAUACUUCACAUUCUGUUUUACUUUGAACACAUUCCUGUAUGUUUUCCCAUAGUCUUGCUUCAAGCAAGCAAGACAAGCUGUUCUGAAACUUGCUCUUCCAUCCAAAUACAUGCUACUGAUUUGUGUUUAUAUAUAUGCGUGUGAAUAUAUACUUAUUAUGUGUGUAUGUAUAUAAACUUGCCCAGUCAUCAGGCUACAGUCCACUUUGCUGAAUGUUGAAAUACAUCCAUUGUUGCUACUCCACCCAACUUGAGAAGUUAUACUGG